Molecule: ribosomal RNA, 1343 nt
Filed under: uncultured bacterium
Lineage: Bacteria
Description: 16S ribosomal RNA
Rfam family: Bacterial small subunit ribosomal RNA
Source: RNAcentral
GACGAACGCUGGCGGCGUGCUUAACACAUGCAAGUCGAACGGAAAGGCCCUGCUUUUGUGGGGUGCUCGAGUGGCGAACGGGUGAGUAACACGUGAGUAACCUGCCCUUGACUUUGGGAUAACUUCAGGAAACUGGGGCUAAUACCGGAUAGGAGCUCCUGCUGCAUGGUGGGGGUUGGAAAGUUUCGGCGGUUGGGGAUGGACUCGCGGCUUAUCAGCUUGUUGGUGGGGUAGUGGCUUACCAAGGCUUUGACGGGUAGCCGGCCUGAGAGGGUGACCGGCCACAUUGGGACUGAGAUACGGCCCAGACUCCUACGGGAGGCAGCAGUGGGGAAUAUUGCACAAUGGGCGGAAGCCUGAUGCAGCAACGCCGCGUGCGGGAUGACGGCCUUCGGGUUGUAAACCGCUUUCGCCUGUGACGAAGCGUGAGUGACGGUAAUGGGUAAAGAAGCACCGGCUAACUACGUGCUAGCAGCCGCGGUGAUACGUAGGGUGCAAGCGUUGUCCGGAUUUAUUGGGCGUAAAGGGCUCGUAGGUGGUUGAUCGCGUCGGAAGUGUAAUCUUGGGGCUUAACCCUGAGCGUGCUUUCGAUACGGGUUGACUUGAGGAAGGUAGGGGAGAAUGGAAUUCCUGGUGGAGCGGUGGAAUGCGCAGAUAUCAGGAGGAACACCAGUGGCGAAGGCGGUUCUCUGGGCCUUUCCUGACGCUGAGGAGCGAAAGCGUGGGGAGCGAACAGGCUUAGAUACCCUGGUAGUCCACGCUGUAAACGGUGGGUACUAGGUGUGGGGUCCAUUCCACGGGUUCCGUGCCGUAGCUAACGCUUUAAGUACCCCGCCUGGGGAGUACGGCCGCAAGGCUAAAACUCAAAGGAAUUGACGGGGCCCCGCACAAGCGGCGGAGCAUGCGGAUUAAUUCGAUGCAACGCGUAGAACCUUACCUGGGUUUGACAUGGAUCGGGAGCGCUCAGAGAUGGGUGUGCCUCUUUUGGGGUCGGUUCACAGGUGGUGCAUGGCUGUCGUCAGCUCGUGUCGUGAGAUGUUGGGUUAAGUCCCGCAACGAGCGCAACCCUUGUUCACUGUUGCCAGCACGUUAUGGUGGGGACUCAGUGGAGACCGCCGGGGUCAACUCGGAGGAAGGUGGGGAUGACGUCAAGUCAUCAUGCCCCUUAUGUCCAGGGCUUCACGCAUGCUACAAUGGCUGGUACAGAGAGUGGCGAGCCUGUGAGGGUGAGCGAAUCUCGGAAAGCCGGUCUCAGUUCGGAUUGGGGUCUGCAACUCGACCUCAUGAAGUCGGAGUCGCUAGUAAUCGCAGAUCAGCAACGCUGCGGUGAAUACGUUCCCGGG